AACUCAUCUGUGUCGCUUUUUCAGGUUAAGAUACCUGGUUUUUGGCGCUGGAUUUCUAUAAGACCAGAAAUAGGCCUCUCUUUUUUUUUUUUUUUUUUCUAGAAGAAAAUACUGUUAAAAAUAUUACCUAGUAUAUAUUAUGUGCUUAUCAUUUUAAUGGAGAAUAAGACCUGACAGAAAAAGUGCCUUAGAAUCUCUGGAAAGGUUUUCAUUGGAGAAAUGGAAUUUUUAGGGUGGGAGUUCCCACUAUGACAAAAGACAGUUCUGGACACUUGUGGACCAUUGCCUGUAUGGCAUGUAAUGACACUUCCAUAUGCACCGAUAACUAAUUAAGUGCAUGUAUCUAAUGUAAGAUGGAAGAAUUCAUCUAUCACGUUAACAAAUGUAAAUACGCUGUAUUAAUGCUGAGAUCAUGAAGACUUAGAGGAACUUGAUGUUUAUCUAUGUUUUUCCAGUUAUAGAAAGCAUUUUUUUUUUGAGGUGAGAAGAGACCAGUAUGAUUAUCUGGGCCUCUGAGAGAAUUGUGGCAGGAAAUGAGAUGCUCAGAAGCUCAGAUGAAGCUGUAGCAUCUUGCCUGGCAAUGGGAGCCUUUCCACCAGACUGACAAUGGAUCAUCAGUUUCAGUUUAUUAGAAAUCUUGCUCUUGAAUAACUGAAGCUCAGGUAUCGUGGAAGA
Anser cygnoides (Swan goose) is the source of this 675-nucleotide long non-coding RNA. Lineage: Eukaryota; Metazoa; Chordata; Aves; Anseriformes; Anatidae. The record is from Ensembl.